AUGGACGAGACCGGCUCAUCCCCCCCGCUGCACGUCGUUAUCUGCCCGUGGCUCGCCUUCGGCCACCUGCUCCCCUGCCUGGACCUCGCCGAGCGUCUGGCGUCGCGGGGCCACCGCGUGUCGCUCGUCUCUGCGCCGCGAAACAUCGCGCGGCUCCCGCCUGUGCGCCCAGCUAUGGCGCCGUUCGUCGGCCUCGUGGCACUGCCAUUCCCACGCGUGGCCGGGCUCCCCGAUGGUGUCGAGUCCACCAACGACGUCCCCUUCGACAAGUUCGAGCUCCAUCGCAAGGCGGCCGACGGCCUCACCGCGCCCUUCUCCGACUACUUGGAGUCCCUAUGCGCCGAGCCCGGCGGAAGGAAGCCCGAUUGGAUCAUCGUGGACUACUUCAACGACUGGGCGGCCGCCGCCGCCAUCCAACACAAGGUUCCAUGUGCGAUGCUUGUCCUACUCGCUGCGACUGUGGUUGCCACCUUGGACAUUAUACUGUCCGAGCGCACCGCGUCCCGAUCGGAAGGAGCGCCAAGGUUCGUGACGGAGAAGACGGGGCUAAUGUCUCUACAAUGCAAAUGGGGGAUGUCCAUCGCCGAGCAGGUCUCCUUGACGCUCCAGAGGUGCAAUCUCGUUGCCAUGCGGAGCUGCAAUGAGUGGGAGCCCGAGAGCGUCGCUCAUGCCGCGACGUUCGGCGGCAAGCCGGUUGUCCCCUUCGGCCUCCUGGCGCCGUCGCCUGACGGAGGUCGCCGCGGCGACAGCGGCAAGGACGAUACGGCCGUGAGAUGGCUCGAUGCGCAGCCGGCCAAGUCGGUCGUGUACGUCGCGCUCGGAAGCGAGGUGCCGCUGCGCCCGGAGGAGGUGCGCGAGCUUGCCCUCGGGCUUCAGCUGGCCGGGACGCGCUUCCUCUGGGCUCUGAGGAAGCCACCGGCUGUCGACGCCGACGUGCUCCUCCCUCAGGGGUUCGAGGAGUGCACGCGCGGCCAUGGCCUCGUGAUAACGGGCUGGGUUCCUCAGCUCGGGAUACUGGCGCACGACGCCGUGGCUGCGUUCCUGAUGCACUGCGGCUUGAGCUCCACCAUCGAGGGGCUCCUGUUCGGGCGUCCUCUCAUCAUGCUGCCCAUCAUGGGGGACCAAGUGCCGAAUGCAAGGCUGAUGGAGUGUAGGAAGGUCGGCGUGCUGGUGCCGAGAAACGAGAAGGACAGUUCGUUUGACCGAGAAGGCGUCGCGACGGCGAUUCGGGCUGUGGCGGUAGAGGAAGAAGGUAGGAGAGUGUUUACAGCCAACGCCAAGAAGCUGCAAGAGAUCGUGUCAGAGACGGAGUGCCAUGAGAGGCAUAUUGACCGGUUUAUUCAGCAGCUUAGAUGUUACAAGUAG
This 1365-nucleotide ribosomal RNA is filed under the name Triticum aestivum (bread wheat). RNAcentral's name for it is "partial small subunit ribosomal RNA". Lineage: Eukaryota; Viridiplantae; Streptophyta; Magnoliopsida; Poales; Poaceae. The record is from RNAcentral.